CACGGGGGGAGCAAGCGUUGUUCGGAAUCACUGGGCGUAAAGGGCGUGUAGGCGGUCAAGUAAGUGGAAUGUGAAAGCCCCCGGCUUACCCGGGGAUCUGCAUCCCAAACUGCUUGGCCUGAGUACGGGAGAGGAUAGGGGAAUUCCUGGUGUAGCGGUGAAAUGCGUAGAUAUCUGGAGGAAUACCGGUGGCGAAGGCGGCAUCCUGGACCGACAUUGACGCUGAGGAGCGAAAACCAGGGGAGCAAACGGG
RNAcentral lists this ribosomal RNA (253 nucleotides) under uncultured bacterium. RNAcentral describes it as "partial 16S ribosomal RNA". It matches the Rfam family "Bacterial small subunit ribosomal RNA", at positions 524 to 776 of the family's 1533-position model. The record is from RNAcentral.